CCUACGGGAGGCAGCAGUGGGGGAUAUUGCACAAUGGGGGGAACCCUGAUGCAGCGACGCCGCGUGGGUGAAGGAGCGUUUCGGUGCGUAAAGCUCUAUCGGCAGGGAAGAAGAUGCCGGUACCUGGCCAAGAAGCCCCGGCUAAUUACGUGCCAGCAGCCGCGGAAAUACCUAGGGGCAAGCGUUAACCGGGUUUACUGGGUGUAAAGGGGGAGCAGACGGGAAUGCAAGCCAGGAGUGAAAGCCCGGGGCCCAACCCCGGGACUGCUCUUGGAACUGCAUGGCUGGAGUACAGGAGGGGCAGGCGGAAUGCCUAGUGUAGCGGUGAAAUGCGUAGAUAUUAGGAGGAACACCAGUGGCGAAGGCGGCCUGCUGGACUGUGACUGACGUUGAGGCCCGAAGGCGUGGGGAGCAAACAGGAUUAGAUACCCCUGUAGUC
This 439-nucleotide ribosomal RNA is filed under the name uncultured bacterium. Its description in RNAcentral is "partial 16S ribosomal RNA". It matches the Rfam family "Bacterial small subunit ribosomal RNA", at positions 338 to 795 of the family's 1533-position model. The record is from RNAcentral.